GCCAGCAUGGCUCAGUGGUUGAGCAUCAGCCUAUGACCCAGGAGGUCAAGGUUCAAUUCCUGGUCAGGGCA
RNAcentral lists this transfer RNA (71 nucleotides) under Myotis davidii. It matches the Rfam family "tRNA". From Rfam's summary of the family: Transfer RNA (tRNA) molecules are approximately 80 nucleotides in length. Their secondary structure includes four short double-helical elements and three loops (D, anti-codon, and T loops). Further hydrogen bonds mediate the characteristic L-shaped molecular structure. tRNAs have two regions of fundamental functional importance: the anti-codon, which is responsible for specific mRNA codon recognition, and the 3' end, to which the tRNAs corresponding amino acid is attached (by aminoacyl-tRNA synthetases). tRNAs cope with the degeneracy of the genetic code in two manners: having more than one tRNA (with a specific anti-codon) for a particular amino acid; and 'wobble' base-pairing, i.e. permitting non-standard base-pairing at the 3rd anti-codon position. Lineage: Eukaryota; Metazoa; Chordata; Mammalia; Chiroptera; Vespertilionidae. The record is from Rfam by way of RNAcentral.